UUUGAGACCGGCGCACGGGUGCGUAACGCGUAUGCAACCUACCUCUUACUGGGGAAUAGCCCGAAGAAAUUCGGAUUAAUGCCCCAUAUGCUCGUACGGCCUCAUGGUCGAGCGAGGAAAGCUCCGGCGGUUGAAGAUGGGCAUGCGGUCCAUUAGUUUGUUGGUGAGGUAACGGCUCACCAAGACUACGAUGGAUAGGGGGUCUGAGAGGAUGAUCCCCCACACUGGUACUGAGAUACGGACCAGACUUC
Molecule: ribosomal RNA, 251 nt
Filed under: uncultured bacterium
Lineage: Bacteria
Description: partial 16S ribosomal RNA
Rfam family: Bacterial small subunit ribosomal RNA
Source: RNAcentral